GACGAACGCUGGCGGCGUGCUUAACACAUGCAAGUCGAGCGGUAAGGCCCUUUCGGGGGUACACGAGCGGCGAACGGGUGAGUAACACGUGGGUGACCUGCCCUCAGCUCUGGGAUAAGCCUGGGAAACCGGGUCUAAUACCGGAUAUGACUCCAUGACGCAUGUUGUGGGGUGGAAAGCCUUGUGCGGCUGAGGAUGGGCCCGCGGCCUAUCAGCUUGUUGGUGGGGUGAUGGCCUACCAAGGCGACGACGGGUAGCCGGCCUGAGAGGGCGACCGGCCACACUGGGACUGAGACACGGCCCAGACUCCUACGGGAGGCAGCAGUAAGGAAUAUUGGUCAAUGGACGCAAGUCUGAACCAGCCAUGCCGCGUGGAGGAUGAAGGUCCUCUGGAUUGUAAACUUCUUUUAUAUAGGGAACGAAAAAGGAUCUUUCUAGAUCACCUGACGGUACCAUAUGAAUAAGCACCGG
Molecule: ribosomal RNA, 471 nt
Filed under: uncultured bacterium
Lineage: Bacteria
Description: bacterial SSU rRNA
Rfam family: Bacterial small subunit ribosomal RNA
Source: RNAcentral